AUGCUCGCUUUGGUAGCACAUACACUAAAAUUGGAACGAUACAGAGAAGAUUGGCAUGGCCCCUGCGCAAGGGUGACAUGCGCUGUUAUCAUGAAGUGUUCCAUAUUUGU
Molecule: small nuclear RNA, 110 nt
Organism: Octodon degus (degu)
Lineage: Eukaryota; Metazoa; Chordata; Mammalia; Rodentia; Octodontidae
Source: Ensembl